This 327-nucleotide ribosomal RNA is filed under the name uncultured eukaryote. Its description in RNAcentral is "partial 18S ribosomal RNA". It matches the Rfam family "Eukaryotic small subunit ribosomal RNA", at positions 1470 to 1796 of the family's 1831-position model. The record is from RNAcentral.
CCCUUAGAUGUUCUGGGCCGCACGCGCGCUACACUGAUUCAUGCAACAAGUUUUGUCCUUGACUGAUAGGCCUGGGUAAUCUUUGAACGUGAAUCGUGAUGGGGAUAGAUGAUUGCAAUUAUUCAUCUUCAACGAGGAAUUCCUAGUAAACGCAAGUCAUCAGCUUGCAUUGAUUACGUCCCUGCCCUUUGUACACACCGCCCGUCGCACCUACCGAUUGAAUGGUCCGGUGAAAUCUUCGGAUCUGAGAGAUGUCUGAUUAAUUUCGGACGCCUUUUGGAAAAGUUGUUUAAACCUUACCAUUUAGAGGAAGGUGAAGUCGUAACA